This 514-nucleotide ribosomal RNA is filed under the name uncultured bacterium. Its description in RNAcentral is "partial 16S ribosomal RNA". It matches the Rfam family "Bacterial small subunit ribosomal RNA", at positions 28 to 523 of the family's 1533-position model. The record is from RNAcentral.
GAUGAACGCUGGCGGCGUGCCUAAUACAUGCAAGUCGAGCGAACAGAUGAGAAGCUUGCUUCUCUGACGUUAGCGGCGGACGGGUGAGUAACACGUGGGUAACCUACCUAUAAGACUGGGAUAACUCCGGGAAACCGGGGCUAAUACCGGAUAAUAUUUUGAACCGCAUGGUUCAAUAGUGAAAGACGGUUUCGGCUGUCACUUAUAGAUGGACCCGCGCCGUAUUAGCUAGUUGGUAAGGUAACGGCUUACCAAGGCGACGAUACGUAGCCGACCUGAGAGGGUGAUCGGCCACACUGGAACUGAGACACGGUCCAGACCCCUACGGGAGGCAGCAGUAGGGAAUCUUCCGCAAUGGGCGAAAGCCUGACGGAGCAACGCCGCGUGAGUGAUGAAGGUCUUCGGAUCGUAAAACUCUGUUGUUAGGGAAGAACAAAUUUGUUAGUAACUGAACAAGUCUUGACGGUACCUAACCAGAAAGCCACGGCUAACUACGUGCCAGCAGCCGCGGUAA